Molecule: long non-coding RNA, 1243 nt
Filed under: Solanum tuberosum (potato)
Lineage: Eukaryota; Viridiplantae; Streptophyta; Magnoliopsida; Solanales; Solanaceae
Description: long non-coding RNA (STUB_LNC008551)
Source: RNAcentral
CUGACUCGAGAAAUAGGGACGGCAGAGAUCGAGCUUUUACGGCUCGACUUAAAUGUGCGAGGUAAAUAAGUCCAUCAUGGACUCAGGAGGGGUUUAUGCAACAAAGAAAGGAGCCAAAUUAGUAUGUGAAAUAAGUAAGCGGCUAGGACAUAACUUAAUUAGAAUGAAAGCAACUUAAACAUUUUUGGAGCUAAAUAUGUCACCCAAGUCACUAUGAGGCAAAAUUGAAACCCAAAUGUUAUAAAUUUCAAUACAAGAUAGGAGGCUUACAAAACUAAUAGUAAACUAAUGAGAAAUCAUACACAAGGAAAUUCAAAAGGGGGGCGGGGGGCAUGUGCUUGUGUACAUACGUGAAAAUAAAACCUAUGAGCAACAACUAACACAAGCCAAAAAUGCAUAAAGAAACAUGUUGCACAUUUGACUAAAAUCAACUUAUCUAAUGAACCAUACUAGACAUAUCCAUGGGAACUUUUAAAACUACCAGCUCUGUUAUACCAAAGGAACAAAAAAUUUGAAGCAGUAGCCAACUAACUUUUUUAUAAGCAAAGGAAGAAAGUAACUAUAAACAAAUAACUAAAAUGGGCAAUAUAAGCAAACAUGUUAAAUAAUGGCAUAAUAUAAAACAAUAUCCAUAGCACUGUUGAACAUUAACACUUAAAUAAAACUAAGGCAAACAACAAGUUAAAAACUCGGAAUGGAUAUUUUCACUAAGGCAAACAACAAGUUAAAAACUCGGAAUGGAUAUUUUCACUAAGGCAAACAACAAGUUAAAAACUCGGAAUGGAUAUUUUCAGAUUUUUAGACAAAGAUGGUGAGGACCAUCUUCUGAAAAAUAAGAAUAACCUUAGCUAAAUCGUCACAUUACAAUGGUAGAGUUACAAGCAUCCUGCCACAUGAACCCACUAAAUGAUGCUAUUGAUUUUAAAUAUUAAGACUCACCACAGCUAACCUUCAAUCCAAUUGAGAACUAACAAGCUAUCUUUUAACCAAAAUUAAACAUUUAAAACUUGAAAACUCAAAGGAUCAGAUCGCAAUCAGGAUAUGGGAUAAUGCAACAAUAACGACCUGCUUGACGCUUUCAAACAAACUCAACAGUUGUAACAUGAAUAUUAACACUAAAAUGGGUGUGAAAUAAGUAUGAACUAAACGCGACUAACUGAUCUCAUUCAAAACUAUUACUUGAAAGUCUACUAAUUUUGAAGGGAGCUAAACACCACUGUAUAACUUGUUUGCAUUCAAAAAA